GUCAGGACAAUACUUGUUACAUCACAGAAGAAGCUAGGGAUCUCCAGGAUACAAAAGAUUUUUCAGGGAGGCCUAAUGAUGAUGUCACUGAGAACUGCCAUGUCCUUAGCUGCUGAGCAGCGUUCCUUUCAUUGACCAGAUUCGAGGGUGUCCUUUCCAGGAGAGUCUCCUAUUGCACAGUUGAAACCUUUACAUACUCCAUCUCUCUAAACCUAGAGACUUCUCUCUGCUUCACUAGUAGUUAAAAGCUCUGAAUGGAGAAAGUUAGUCAGGGUCUUGGCAUGGGUAGAAAACAUUUAGGAACAUGGAAUAUAGGAGAUCUUCUAGAUAAUACUUAUAUCCCCAGGUUCAUACCUGUGACUCAGUUCAACAUUCUAAGUAUUCUGUUUCCCAAAGGCCAGUAUUUUCCCUACAGACGUUUAAUUGAAUUAAUAUUGUAUUUCAAUUUCUUAUUGAAAAUUCGUUGAUAGGGGACUUUGAAAAUAUUCCUCAAUGUGUACUCAAAAAUUCUGUUUUCCAAUUCCAUUUUCUGCAAAGGUUUUGGCAACAAAGGAGGCCCAACUAUAGAGUAAGCAUAACACUGUAAAUACUGUAUACCUAAUUCAAAUUAUAAAUUCCCAAAUCCUUAUUUUAACAAAAAAUUACCAGAUAUCAGAAAAGCAAAGCACAACAUGGACUAUUGAAUUCGGUUCUCUAGUCCCAUUUGAUAUCAGUUCUGCAAUAUCUACCUUCCUGAGUUUCAUUCCCAUACUUGAGGGUUUUGAGUAUUUUACCAUGAUAAGUUAUUAAGGCCAAACAUAAGAUAUAGGAGGCUGGGCAUCUAGAGGAAUGACUUGAGGACCAGUGACGCCUCAAUUUCAGAAGUUUCAAAAAACAGGAUGGAGUCUAUUUGGUGUUGCCAUUUGUGGAUUCUACAGUCUUGACCUAGAUAUGCAGAACCCAUGUCAAAAUUCCAGCUAAACUCAGAGCUGUAGGAGCCACCAAAAGUACAUACAUAUACAUCAGCCACCAAAACUAGACAAGAUUGAUGAAGGUAAGUGCAUUCUUCCAGGAAUCAGAUAUAGAUAUUUCCUGAGAGACACAACUAGAUUAUGCCAAAUACAGAAGUGAAUGCUAGUGGCAAACCAGUGAACUGAAAAUGGACUUCUUGUUUGUAGAUUUUCAGGAAAGAUUACAAGAGCUGAAGGGGCUUUAACACCAUAAGAACGACAAUGCUAAUGAACCAGAGCUUUCUGAUACUAGACCUAUGUUCAAGAAUGUACAUGGACAGAGUUAUGGCUCCAACUGCAUAUGUGGAAGAGGAUGGACUUGGAACCACUUGAAGCAGGGAAGUCCAGAUGCUUCUGACACGCUCCGAGCUCCGAGCUCCUGAUCCCAUGUGUGGAAGGCUCAGAUCAAUUCUAUCUCUUCAAGACAGGAGGGUAGCAUUAUUGUCCUCUGCAAGACUCAACGGAGCAGCCGACUGACACAGGUGCACAGACAUACGGCCAAAUAUCGAAUGGAGCUCAGUGAGUCUCACUGAAGGGCUGAGGGAAGGGCAGGCAGAGACAGAGGAGCACAAUGAUCUUCAGGUGGGGUCACUAAACACAGUCGCUUGUCUGUGGAUCCUGUUCUCCUACCUGGGCUGCGUUUUCAGGACCUGGUGGGAGACGAUGAAUCUAGUUGAGUAGAGACUUGAUGUGCCAGGGGAGAGGGUGAACCCAGAGGGGUCCUCCACUCUCUCAGAUAAGAAGGGGAGAGGAUAGAAGGAGGGAGUAUAAAUGGUAAGAGCCUGGAGGAGUGUGGUUCCAGGGCAGCAUUCAGAAUGCUACCUGGUGAAUAGAUGCAACCAUUCUAGCAAGGGACUCAGGCAUGACAUCACUGGGAAGGGGGCGGGACAUCAUGGGUGUGGGACAUGACAUCAUGGUGGUGGGGCAUGACAUCACGAUUAUCCAUCAGAAGUAAUUAUCUGGCUAAACAUUCAUCACGAGUGUCAGCUCCACAGGCUCACUGAAGAUCCUAAACCAUAGUUGUUAGUGAAGUUAUAUAUUGAAAAACCCAGUCAAUAUCUUAUCUUGUGUCCUUUCACCUGUACCAAAUCGUUUGAUCUCUUUGUUUGACUCUUGAUAACUGUUUUGGAACCUCUUGGAAUGUGUUCUGAGUAGGAUUAAGUCUGUUUACUUUCUCAGAACAAUUAAAUGGUGACACCUGGGAGACUGGCAGAGUUGUCACUGGAAUUUUGACUAAUAGAAAGAGACUUAUAGCAGUCCCACUAUAAAAGAACUUAAUAACCAUUGAUAUAAUUUUAAGAAUUAUUGUAGGAUCGUUAUUAAGACUAAAGAAUUCAUCUACUUGUCUGUAUACUAACACUAUGGGACAG
Molecule: non-coding RNA, 2359 nt
Organism: Rattus norvegicus (Norway rat)
Lineage: Eukaryota; Metazoa; Chordata; Mammalia; Rodentia; Muridae
Source: RefSeq, a predicted model, not a curated record